GACGAACGCUGGCGGCGUGCCUAAUACAUGCAAGUCGAGCGGUCCCUUCGGGGAUAGCGGCGGACGGGUGAGUAACACGUAGGCAACCUGCCUGUAAGACCGGAAUAACUAUCGGAAACGAUAGCUAAGACCGGAUAGCUGGUUUUCUCGCAUGAGAGAAUCAUGAAACACGGGGCAACCUGUGGCUUACAGAUGGGCCUGCGGCGCAUUAGCUAGUUGGUAGGGUAACGGCCUACCAAGGCGACGAUGCGUAGCCGAACUGAGAGGGUGACCGGCCACACUCGGACUGAGACACGGCCCAGACUCCUACGGGAGGCAGCAGUAGGGAAUCUUCCGCAAUGGACGCAAGACUGACGGAGCAACGCCGCGUGAGUGAUGAAGGUCUUCGGAUCGUAAAGCUCUGUUGCCCUAGACGAACAGCAAGGAGAGUAACUGCUCUUUGUGUGACGGUAUAGGAGAAGAAAGCCCCGGCUAACUACGUGCCAGCCGCCGCGGUAA
This 498-nucleotide ribosomal RNA is filed under the name uncultured bacterium. Its description in RNAcentral is "partial 16S ribosomal RNA". It matches the Rfam family "Bacterial small subunit ribosomal RNA", at positions 28 to 523 of the family's 1533-position model. The record is from RNAcentral.